UCCAGCAAUGGCCGAGUGGUUAAGGCUUUGGACUUAAGAUCCAAUGGACAUAUGUCCGUGUGGGUUUGAACCCCACUCCUGGUAA
Sorex fumeus (smoky shrew) is the source of this 85-nucleotide non-coding RNA. NCBI's taxonomy places the organism in Eukaryota, Metazoa, Chordata, Mammalia, Eulipotyphla, Soricidae. The record is from the annotation of a RefSeq genome assembly.